This 484-nucleotide long non-coding RNA is filed under the name Coffea arabica (coffee). RNAcentral describes it as "long non-coding RNA (CARA_LNC001632)". The record is from RNAcentral. Lineage: Eukaryota; Viridiplantae; Streptophyta; Magnoliopsida; Gentianales; Rubiaceae.
GUCAUGUUCAAAGCUUCCAGGAUUAUUGGUCAAAUUUUAUGUACCAUUGGCUCAGCAUCUUUUGUUUUAUUGAUUUACUCUCUCCAAAGGAUCUGUAAAUUAUUGGUAGAUUUGGUUCUCAGUUUCCUGGGGAACGCUGGCAGUCAGAGGACUGCUUUUUUUUUUGUUUUUUGUCCAGCCUUUUCAAGAAAUACAGGAAUACGUGUAAUGUUAGUCAUCAAGAUUAUGAACUUGCUUGAGUGAGAAGGGCCUGGGUUCGAUUCCGAGCUCGGGCAGCCGGGGUAAAUUCCUGAUGAUUCGGUGGGGCCCGCUCUCUCAGGCGCAGUGGGAUUAGUUGGGGUUAAUGGCGGUGUCAGGUAUCCAGUCCCAGACCGCUACCCCCAGAUACCCCUGUGUUGACAAAAAAAAAAAAAAAAAAGAUUAUGAACUUGCUUUUUAGUAUGUUCCCUUGAUGCGAUUCAUUUGUGAGAAAGUUUUGUGGACA